CUCAAAGAAAGUUAGUCUUCCCUACGAUCUUCAGGGUUUUGCCAUUAUUUAUUGAUUUUCACAUUAUAAAGUUUAAACUCGCCCCAGGGAAAGGGAAGAGGAGGUAAUUCCAGAGCUGUUGUAUUGUAUCUGGCUAAGCCAAGUGGCCUCCGUACUUCCCACUGGUCCUCCCAACACCGGGAUGUUGAAGGAGGACAUCACCCACGAAGAGCAAUCACAAGCAAACUUACCAGGUCGACUGUCAGCUGCCACUCUUGCCACCACUGGUGAAAUGGAACAGUGCCGGUGCGGACGUGGGCUAUGGAGGACGAGAAAGCUGAGUUCAUAUCUCAGCUCUUGUUUAGGGUCACUUACCCCCAAAAGAAACUCGGUAUCUUCAUCUGUAAAAUGAACAGUGUACUAACAGAUUCCCCACGAAAGAACCCUCUGCUAUGUUCAACAAUAGAACGAGAAAUGGGCCAGGUCAAGGCUCUGCCAGCACAGUCUCCUGCAGAAAGUCCAGGUAGAUGUGAAGUUGUCAGAGUAUUUAUAUCCCAGUGUCCUCACAGAGCUUCUUAUUUCCUGGCAAGAAGAAUUUUGACAAAGGUUUGUUCCCACAGGCACGUUAGUGUGGUGAUGGCUGGACCGCCACAAGUGGCGCCUGAACAGGGACCUGAGUAUUGA
RNAcentral lists this long non-coding RNA (663 nucleotides) under Fukomys damarensis (Damara mole-rat). RNAcentral describes it as "lncRNA (ENSFDAG00000026169.1)". The record is from RNAcentral. Lineage: Eukaryota; Metazoa; Chordata; Mammalia; Rodentia; Bathyergidae.